UUGUCACUUUGACUUUUUAAAAUUUGGCAAUUGUAAAUUAGCGUUAGGAAAAAAAAGAUAUUACUUCUCUCUCUAAAUAUUUCCUCUGUCUUCUCUCUUAAACAAAAAGCCUAAACCCUAACCCCAACAGCCACCUUAACCAGCUCGCUGGUGGCCGCCGCUCGCUAAACGGUCGCCGGCGAGCCUGCUACCCUGUUGUAUUAGCGUUGUAGCUUCGCGUUUCUGGCGGGAAAGAAGAAGAUGGAGCCAAGCAUGGUCGAAAGAGAAGCUUCUACCUCCUCUUAGGGGUCAUUUGGUUCGCUAAGGUGGAAUGGAAUGGUAUGUAAUCUCAUACCUGGGUGGUAUGGGUUCCAUUUCCCAUACCAGUCUGAAACUGUUUGCUUUGAACCGCUAGUUCAAGAAGAGAGAAAAUAGAAGGGCGAAGGAGGAGUAAGCUACGCAUCAAGCCGGAGAAGAUGGACUAGGGUCUCCGGCGAUGAUUAAAGUCAAAAUACAUACGAUGAUGAUUAAAGGGUUGACGAUGAUGGCUCCCGGAUUGAAGGUCGCCUGUGAUGACCAUGAUCGAAGAUGGUGGGCGGCUGCAAUUUCAUCUCUUUAUGAGUUAGGGUUUGUAACCUUGGUGGAAUGGAAUGUGAAUCUUAGGGUAAGAGGUGGGAAUGAGAUUUUAGGGGUAUGGUAUGCAGAUAGAACCCAUUUGGUACGAGACUCCAUUCCAAAAUAGCCCAACCAAACAAUAAAGUGGACAGAAUAGACUCUAAUUCCAUUCCAAAAUGCCCAACCAAACGACCCCUUAGUAUGCUUCUUCUUCCCGGAUCUUGUAAUUUUUAAUUCGGAGUUGUUUUUAGUAGGCGGUUCACCGCGUUGUUUGGUGAUUAUCUCAACGUUUUAGCGGGUGGAGAUCAAUCAAUUCUGAUCCAGGAUUCAAUAAUUGUCGGCUUCUAAUCUCACAUCUAUUUCGUACGCCAUCGUCGGAAAAGUGUUGGUAAAGGUAAAGUACGGCCUAGGGUUUCUUUGGGAAAUUAGGAGCUUUUCUCGGCUUUCGGAUGUGGUUUUGAGGGAUCCCGACCUUUCAAAUCGAAGCUACUCUUGUUGCUGUCGUCUUGUGGUGUCGAAGAUACACCGAUCUUGACGAUAAAGGUGAGGAGGGGAAUCAAAUCGGAGCUAUCUUGGUCGCCAUUGUCUUGUAGUGUCGGAAAUAUGCCGAUCUUGACAAUAAAAGGUGAAAACUAGGUUAGGGUUUCUGCUUUGAUUUUUUUAUUAGUCGGGGUUUUCCUUGUUUCUGACUUCCUACUUUGUUGAGUUAAUUAUUUUUUUAGUUGUUUGUUUUGGUUUAGUUGUUAAUUGUUGUGGUUUAGUAAGUGUUAUCUUCUUUUGAAUGUCUAGACCACAAGUUGUUAAGUUGGUUUCCUUGAUGGAUCAUUUUUC
Spinacia oleracea (spinach) is the source of this 1425-nucleotide long non-coding RNA. RefSeq lists it as uncharacterized. The transcript has 2 exons. The record is from RefSeq and is a predicted model, not a curated record. NCBI's taxonomy places the organism in Eukaryota, Viridiplantae, Streptophyta, Magnoliopsida, Caryophyllales, Amaranthaceae.